GACAGAGGAGCCAAGCGUUGUCCGGAUUGACUGGGCGUAAAGCGCACGCAGGCGGCUGUGCACGUGGGGUGUGAAAGCUGGCGGCUUAACUGCCAGACGCCACCUCAUACGGCACGGCUCGGGCCCGUGAGAGGUCCACGGAAUUGCCGGUGUAGUGGUGAAAUGCGUAGAGAUCGGCAGGAACACCCAGGGGGAAACCAGUGGACUGGCACGGUGCUGACGCUCAGGUGCGAAAGCGUGGGGAGCGAACCGG
Molecule: ribosomal RNA, 253 nt
Filed under: uncultured bacterium
Lineage: Bacteria
Description: partial 16S ribosomal RNA
Rfam family: Bacterial small subunit ribosomal RNA
Source: RNAcentral